This 111-nucleotide ribosomal RNA is filed under the name Labrus bergylta (ballan wrasse). The record is from RNAcentral. Lineage: Eukaryota; Metazoa; Chordata; Actinopteri; Labriformes; Labridae.
GCUUACGGCCAUACCACCCUGAACACGAUUCCGAUCUCGGAAGCUAAGCAGGGUCGGGCCUGGUUAGUACUUGGAUGGGAGACCGCCUGGGAAUACCAGGUGCUGUAAGCU